RNAcentral lists this ribosomal RNA (154 nucleotides) under Magnaporthiopsis poae ATCC 64411. RNAcentral describes it as "Magnaporthe poae ATCC 64411 5.8S ribosomal RNA". It matches the Rfam family "5.8S ribosomal RNA". Rfam says of the family: 5.8S ribosomal RNA (5.8S rRNA) is a component of the large subunit of the eukaryotic ribosome. It is transcribed by RNA polymerase I as part of the 45S precursor that also contains 18S and 28S rRNA. The record is from RNAcentral. Lineage: Eukaryota; Fungi; Ascomycota; Sordariomycetes; Magnaporthales; Magnaporthaceae.
AACUUUCAACAACGGAUCUCUUGGUUCUGGCAUCGAUGAAGAACGCAGCGAAAUGCGAUAAGUAAUGUGAAUUGCAGAAUUUAGUGAAUCAUCGAAUCUUUGAACGCACAUUGCGCCCGCCGGUAUUCCGGCGGGCAUGCCUGUCCGAGCGUCA